RNAcentral lists this ribosomal RNA (427 nucleotides) under uncultured bacterium. RNAcentral's name for it is "partial 16S ribosomal RNA". It matches the Rfam family "Bacterial small subunit ribosomal RNA", at positions 354 to 796 of the family's 1533-position model. The record is from RNAcentral.
GUGGGGAAUAUUGGGCAAUGGGGGCAACCCUGACCCAGCGACGCCGCGUGAGGGAAGAAGGCCUUAGGGUCGUAAACCUCUGUUGUGUGGGAAGAAGGAAGUGACGGUACCACACGAGGAAGUCCCGGCUAACUACGUGCCAGCAGCCGCGGUAAUACGUAGGGGACGAGCGUUGUCCGGAAUUACUGGGCGUAAAGGGCGCGUAGGCGGUCAUUUAAGUCAGCUGUGAAAUGGUCCGGCUCAACCGGAUCAUGCGGUUGAAACUGGAUGACUGCAGUGCUGGAGAGGCAAGUGUAAUUCCCAGUGUAGCGGUGAAAUGCGUAGAUAUUGGGAAGAACACCGGUGGCGAAGGCGACUUGCUGGCCAGCAACUGACGCUGAGGCGCGAAAGCCAGGGGAGCAAACGGGAUUAGAAACCCGUGUAGUCC